ACUCGGCCCGAGAUUUGGCCAUUUCACCUCCCCACCCCCACUCAGGCGCCCCAACGCUCCCCCAGUUCCUUGUGGUCCGGCCUGCCUACAUCAAAACGCUGGCCAGGUAAGGUCAGUGAUGGGCAGGAGUCACUCGGCUGCCACCUGCUCGCCUCUGGGCGUGGGAGUGGUGUUAGGGAACUGCGCUUGCCAUUCCAACUCCGGCUUUAAAUGUCUCGACUAGCCGUUGGAUCGUGUUUUUCUCACCAGUAAAGCGGAGACGCUCCUGCCUCUUGGGGGGGGGGGUAGGCCGGUGGUCAGGUAAGACUUCGGCAGGAGCCCAGCCCAUGGAAUGACAGUACCAUCCAUCAAUUAACAGUCAGGCCAGCCUUCCACAGGAACGCCUCCAGUGGGCCAGCCUGAUCUGGAUAUGUCCUCACUGAGACUUUUCCUCCAGAUGGUUCUAGCUUGUGUCAGGUUGAUAGUUAGAACUAAGCCUCGCUGGAGGUAAAGUGGGGUCAUGGACCACAGGACAGCACGAAGCCUAUAAGCUGGAGGCAGAGGCAACCAAGAGCAUCACAUGGACGUGGAAGAUGGCUGCCUUGCCUGGAUGAGGAGGGUCCCCACAGGCCCUGCAGGAAGGCUUGCCUGCCCAGGGGAUGCUCAGCUGAAGCCACUCUGCUACCCCCUGAGAGAGCUCCCUGCCUUGGCUCCCUUGACAGAUGAGUCUGUUCACAUCAUCAGGUGGUCUGUUGCCCUCACUGCCGACAGGUGCUUACACCCAAGGAUACCAGUGUGGAGGUUUCUGGGGGUAGCUGCCCCACUGGCCCACCACCUCCUAACACUAAUUCGAGCUUUUGGAACCCCAAGGCAUCACUGGAGCAUCAGACUUCUCCGAAAUGCUUAUGAUGUGUCCCUUGAAGGUACUAUGUGGAUUAAAUUAAAAUAUUAAUUUAGCUUCAAA
RNAcentral lists this long non-coding RNA (943 nucleotides) under Mus pahari (shrew mouse). RNAcentral describes it as "lncRNA (MGP_PahariEiJ_G0003865.1)". The record is from RNAcentral. Lineage: Eukaryota; Metazoa; Chordata; Mammalia; Rodentia; Muridae.